UAUAGAGGGUGCGAGCGUUAAUCGGAAUUACUGGGCGUAAAGCGCACGUAGGUGGCGACGUAAGUCGGGUGUGAAAGCCCCGGGCUCAACCUGGGAAUUGCAUUCGAGACUGCAUUGCUGGAGUACGGAAGAGGAGGGCGGAAUUCCCGGUGUAGCGGUGAAAUGCGUGGAUAUCGGGAGGAACAUCAGGGGCGAAGGCGGCCCUCUGGUCCAGUACUGACACUCAAGUGCGAAAGCGUGUGGGGCAAACAGG
RNAcentral lists this ribosomal RNA (253 nucleotides) under uncultured bacterium. RNAcentral describes it as "partial 16S ribosomal RNA". It matches the Rfam family "Bacterial small subunit ribosomal RNA", at positions 524 to 776 of the family's 1533-position model. The record is from RNAcentral.